CCUGUUUUAAUGUGGGUGCCCGAAUCUAGAGAAAAAGUAACAACUCCACUGCCUCUCCUGAUAGAACAAAUCAGGGUUUUAGAUAAGAAAAGCCAGGGCCGAGAGUAGGCAGCGUGAAAACGGCCGCGCUUGAGCGGCUCUCAGGUUUCCUGUGAGAAAUCCCGGCGGAGAAGGCACUGCUGGCUGCUGCGUAAAUGAGUCACGGGCUUUGCAGGCCAGGGGAGAUGGAAAGCAGAUUCCAGGAAGCAAGCAAGAAGGGAUCUCUGGGAAAGUUUUCCAUUUUAGCGUGAAGCUGUUAAGCUACUGUUCGGUGCUGGAAACUCAGAGGAAAAACACCAGCCAGAAAGACCAGGGAAGGCGAGUGAAUCCUGGCAGUUCAGGAAAGAGGGACUUUGUACAUCUAGGCAAUCUGGAGCAAGUGACCAAGAUGGUACCAUCCAGGCAAGGCCUUCAAGGAUCCUAACUCAGUUGACAAUGGUAUCUUGGAGAGCAAAGAAGCCCAGGAGAGGAAGUGUCAGCUCCAAGAACCUGUUUAUGUGACAGGAAGGGGGCCUGAGGUCUUUAGAACUGCAGAGAUCUGGGUAAGAGGCAAGUAGGAGGGGUUCCCUAGCGCCCCCUACCCCAGUUUAAAGGUCUGCUUGCCAUUCCCAGGAGCCUUUCGGUUCCCGCAGACGCCUUCGGGUUCCCAAAGGUCUUCCCUCCCACGAGCUGGUUGACACGGUAGGCAGACCACUCUGCCGGGCUACCCGCGAAGGUGGAGCGAGCUGUGGGCGCCCCUUAGGGGUGCGGGAGCCUGGGGGAA
Myodes glareolus (Bank vole) is the source of this 802-nucleotide non-coding RNA. The record is from RefSeq and is a predicted model, not a curated record. Lineage: Eukaryota; Metazoa; Chordata; Mammalia; Rodentia; Cricetidae.